GAUGAACGCUAGCGAGUAGGCCUAACACAUGCGAAGUCGGAGGGGGCAGCACAUGAAGUAGCAAUACGGAUGGUGGCGACCGGCGCGACGGGUGAGUAACGCGUAUGCAACCUGCCUAACAACAGGGGAAUAACCCGUUGAAAGACGGACUAAUACCCCAUAACACAGGGAUCCCGCAUGGGAAUAUUUGUUAAAAGAUUUAUCGGUUGUAGAUGGGCAUGCGUUCCAUUAGCUGGUUGGUGAGGUAACGGCUCACCAAGGCAACGAUGGAUAGGGGAACUGAGAGGUUUAUCCCCCCACACUGGUACUGAGACACGGACCAGACUCCUACGGGAGGCAGCAGUGAGGAAUAUUGGUCAAUGGACGCAAGUCUGAACCAGCCACGUCGCGUGAAGGAAGACGGCCCUACGGGUUGUAAACUUCUUUUGUAAGGGAAUAAAGUGCAGUACGCGUACUGUUUUUGCAUGUACCUUACGAAUAAGGAUCGGCUAACUCCGUG
This 499-nucleotide ribosomal RNA is filed under the name uncultured bacterium. Its description in RNAcentral is "bacterial SSU rRNA". It matches the Rfam family "Bacterial small subunit ribosomal RNA", at positions 28 to 507 of the family's 1533-position model. The record is from RNAcentral.